GGAUAUGAUAUUAGUGAACGCACAUGGGAGCCAUCCAAGAAUCUAGCAAAUGCAUCAGCUAAAGUCAAAGUUUUUCAUCAACGACAUCCAUCGAAACCAAGAUAAAAAUCUCUCUUAUAAAAGAGACAAGAUUGAGGCAAGAUAACAUUCAAUUUCCUAUCCUUGUUUGUAACUUCUUUGCAUUUGUGAUGCUAAUUAGAUGGAGAGCCAACAACCAGCGGAUUCAACUCAAGAACCUUCGUUUGUUGACCUGCUGGACGAGACAUUACGAUUGUCACAACCUUUAAGACGACGCAAUCGAGAUGAACAUCUUCAAGAACGACAUGUUCUUCCUCGAAUAGAUGGUGAGAUACAACGUGUUCGGUAUCACGAUUUGGGAAGGAACUCCCGAUGUUUGGUGAUUUUGCUAGAACAACUCCUGAUGGUGUUCCAAAUAUUCUAUUCGAAGGAAGUUACGAAGGCCUCAACAAUGAUCAAAUAACUGGGUGGUCUUCCCGCCCUGGUAUGGGACACUACCGAUGGUUGAAAGGCCCUAUCAAUCAUCUUCGAAGAGUACAGAGAUCAGAGUAUGUGGCGAAUACAAUUUGUCGCAUCAUAGAUUUCCUCAACAUAUGAUGACCACUCCUCGUGGAACUCGUCUCUAGAAGGGGGGGUAAUGUCACGGCCAUAAUCAUGUAAGCUAAUAAUUACAUAUAGAAAUAGGUAGAAGUAAGUAAAAGUAGAUAAAAGUAAGUUAAUUCUAUAAUAUUUAAUAUAAAAGCUUCCUAGAAACUUCUUAGACGCUGCUUUGACUUCAUAGGUGUCUUUAAUUGACUUUUUGGAUUAGAAACGUGGUUAACAAGUUGGCCAUGUGCCACACAUGUUUUUAGCUUGAAGAUCAAGCUAACUAUGUGGCCCACACAUAGAAAAACUUGCCUUGUAAGUCAAGGCAUGUGUCCUACAAAGUCAACACAUAUUGGAGGUCCUAUAGAACAUCGCCACGUAGCUCUUAGUUAGAUAGUAUAUAUAGAGACAAGAGUGAAGGCUUCUUCACUCUUGUCAACUCCUUUCUUGCUUCUAGUCCAGGUUCAAGAGUCUUUAGUUUCUUGUCUUGUGGUAAUAGCUAUUCCAGUUUCUUUGUAAUAUACCUACUUGUUUAUAUUUUGACUUAUUAUAUCGAGAUAGCCUUUUUGUGUAUAUUUUCCCUCAUCGAGUCUUUGUCCUUGACAAGAUGAUGAAAUUGGUGGAAGUACGGAAACUAGUGAAUUUUGGGCUUCUACCGUUUCUACAAUGCAAGAAGGGAAAUUACCUUGAGAAGCGUUAUUGAGAACUGCAGCUACAAUACGAGGAAGAACAGGUUGGGAGGAUCCUGUUGAGUCUCUUUCAGUUCAUGCAUAUAUUGCUAAUAGCCAACAUGAAGCUUUGAUGGAAGAAAAGAGACGAGGAAAUUUUGAUGAAACUAGAGAAGGAAAUUCUUCUAAGAGGCAAACUCGAGGAGACCAGGCUCGGGAGGCAGCUUCACAAGAAUUGCCUGUAAAGGAUACCUCAGCAUCAUUGGGAGAAAAAACAAAGGAGACAAAAGAUAAAGGCAAAUCAAUUGCUUAUAAGCUACUUUCUGACAUUGAAGCGGCAACAGAUUUGAAAGGAGUGCUGGAAGAACGUAUAUUAAACGCUAAGGUGGAAUUCACUUUGAAAGAAGUCUUGGGAAUUGUAAAGAAGGAGUUUCAUGAUGUCAUCAUUGACAACAUUAAGCGAAAGAGGUAAUUAAUGGACGAAACUGGAAUGAGUCAUGCUAUUGAUGCAAGAAUAUAUAAAGAUGAAGAAGAGGUUGAUAUGGAUUACAAGCAACCAACAAAUGAAAAGAAUGGGUAUAAUCAACGAGUACGUUUCGAAGAUUCUAGUGACAAGGAAAUAGAAACUUUGAGCCAUUAUACUCGAAAGCAUUGGACAAGGGCAACUACUGAGGAAUUGGUGAAAGUAAGAGAUAUAGAAGAACCAAUUGUUGCUUUAGUCGACCAUGGUUCUGAAAUAAAUCUCAUGUCUAAAGAUCUUUAUAAGAAGCAAAAAUGGCCAAUUGAUAUGGAACAUGGAUGGGCAAUACGAGUAGCUAAUAACACACGAGGCGAAUUAUAUGGACCUUGUCCAGAUGUCAAAAUUCGGAUUGGGGAUGUUGCGACGGAGCAACAUUUCUUCGUUCAAGAUACAACGUCUUAUCCGUUGAUUUUAGGACAACCUUAUAUUACGGCAAUAUGGAUGGAAACAAAAGUACUGGACGAUGGUUCUGCUUAUGCAAGGGUACGGAGCGAAGAUGGGAGGAAAGCUGUACAAUUUCUAACAGUACCUCCUAACCAUGAACGGAAUCGAGAUAGGUUGAGGGAGAAACCAUUGCCAAAGAUUGUUGAAGGAUUUAAGGAUUUUGGGGAGGUACCACUGUAAAGCGAGAUUAUAGAGGUACAAAAGAGGAGGUACUCUCGCGAGAUGAAGGUGCCUUUGAUGCGAAUUUUAUUGGUAUAUUGGAGAAUGGAAAUAUUAUGUAUAAAAAAGUUGAUGAUUUUAAAAGAAAAGAAAGAAAAAGAUUAUAUGAUAUUGAAGGAGAAUUACGCAAGUUAGGUACAUUGCAAGAUGAUGAGAGGAUUUUGGGUGUUUAUGAAGAAAAUGGACUGGAAGAUUCAUUGGAAUUGAUUGCAUCUAUUGGGUUAGGAGAUAAUGAUAAUAUUGUUGAGAUUCAUUCAAGAGAGGUUUAUACCAUGCUUGAAUCUUUUCAAGCACCAGAAGUCAUAGUAGAGACGAGAUAUAAAACGACAGAUAAGAAGGUAAAGCCUGUUGCUGGACCAUUACCAGAAGAUUCUAAAGAACAAAUGGGAGAAGCAUCAAAAGAAGCAAGUUUAAGAGAUCCAAUGAGUAUUGGACAUCAGUUUACUAAAGAGACUUUUGAAGAAUUGAAGAUUGGUUCUGAUGGUUCUUUAUUGUCGGAGGAAAUUACUUGCUUCAAAAAGAUAUUGGCUAAACAAGGUAGAUCGUUUGCCUUCGAAUCUCAUGAAAUUGGGUGUAUGGAUCCAAAUAUUAUAACACCUAUGGUUAUCUUCACUGUACCGCAUGUACCUUGGAAUCUAAGACCGAUUCCAGUACCGAGGGCACAUUUACCUAAAUUGGUGGAACUAUUAAAAGAAAAGAUAAAGAUGAAAAUAUUGGAACCUUCAUUUGUGCCGUAUUCUAGUCGAUGGUUUACGGUACCUAAGAAGAAUGGGUCACUACGGUUUAUUCAAGAUAUGCAACUGAUGAAUGCAGUAACUGUCAGGAAUGCAGGAAUUGGACCCAUUGUGGAUGAAUUUGCUGAGGCGUUUGUUAGAAGGGCGAUCUAUUCAAUGGAUGAUUUGUAUUCAAGUUAUGAUCAAUUUCAACUUGUCGAAGGAAAUAGAGAUAUGACAACAAUGUGGACACCACUUAGAUUAGUUAGAAUGUGCACUCUUCCUCAAGGCGCGACCAACUCAGUUGCGCAUAUGAUGAAUGGGAUGAAUAAGGUAUUGAGAGAUUUUAUUCCGGAAAAGACUAUGCCUUUUCUAGAUGAUGUUCCUAUAAAAGGAUGCAGAGAAGGAGACAAGGAUGAAACUUUAGAUAUGAGGCGGUGUCGCAAAUAUGUUGUUGAUUAUAUACAAGAUUGUGAAAAGAUUUUAACUCGGCUUGGAGAAGUUCAUCUUACAUUAUCGGGUAUGAAGUCCGUAUUUGGAGUACGAGAGGUUGUAAUUGUUAGACAUUUAUGUGGAUCUUACGGAAGAAAACCAGAUCCAACUAAAGUUGAUGCAAUUGGAAGGAUGAAAGAGGAUUGUGAUUCUUUAACAGAGGUUUGCAGGUUUUGGGUGCAUGUGUAUUUUAUCGAAUCUGGAUCCCUCAUUUUGCUCACAUAGCGGAUCCAUUAUAUGAGCUGUUAUGCAAGGGUUACCGAUUUAAAUGGGAAGAAAGGCAUAUUCAGGCAAUGCAAAGAUUGAAGAAAUUAUUGAUGUCACCUCCAAUAUUGAGGAAGGUUGAUUAUAAGUGCAAUAGACCAAUGAUUCUUACUGUGGACGCUAGUCCAAUUGCCAUUGGAUGGGCUGUGGGUCAAGAUGAUUCAAAUGGGAGUAGAUUUGCAGUUCAAUUUGGGGCUAAAGUUUUAAGUAUUCAUUAGCGUGCAUAUUUGCAAGUCAAAAGAGAACUUUGGGGAGUCGUUUCGGCUAUGAAAGCUGAAAAGGACUAUUUGAUUGGGGCAGUAGUAGUAAUUGAAACAGAUUGCUUGCCAUUGCUUGGAAUGAUUAUUAACUGUUCAACGCCAGAUAUUGUGAUGUUGAGAUGGAUUGCUUAUAUUAAGUUACUAAAUCCAGAAUUUAAGCAUAUUACUGGGAAAGAAAAUUUAGUAGCAGACAUGCUAUCUCGAGCAAGAUACGAGAGGGAGGACGAAAUGGUUGAAGACAUUGAUGAUGUCGGAUUGAAAUUCUAUUCAAUAUCAAAUCUCAACAGAGAAGACAAGCUAUUUCUUGAAGAAUCUUAUGAAGGAGAAUUAUUGGAUAUUGGUCAUUACUUGAAUACCUUGACUAAGCAGGGAAAUUGGUCUACAGAAAAAUUCAAACAAAUAAGAAAAAAAGCAUAUGGAUUUUUACUUCGAGAUGGAUUCUUAUGAAAGAGACCGAAGAAAGGAAUUAGGAUGCCACAGCGAGUGAUAGGCAAAAAGGAAGAAAGACUAAAAUUAUUAAAGGAGUUUCAUGAUAGUUUAUGGGCAGGGCAUAGAGGAAUCUGGACUACUUUUGCUAAACUCAAGGAACGAUAUUGGUGGAAAAAUAUGUAUCGAGAUGUGCUCUCAUUUGUAGAGUCAUGUGAAAUCUGUCAAUCGUAUUCUAAUAUCCGACAUCGAGAUGUUCUUCAUCCUACAUAUGCUCUAGCUAUUCAUUUUAAAUGGGUUGUUGAUUUGGUUAUUAUGCCAGUUGGGUUAUGGCACAUGAGAUAUUUGGUUUUAGCUCGUGAAGAUUUAUCAAAUCAAGUAGAAGGAAGAGCAUUGAGGACAAAAUCUACAGAGGGAAUUUGUAGGAUUUUGCUUGAAGAUGUCAUUUGCCGCUACGGAUGCGUAGGAAAAGUCACUGCAGAUCGUAGAGAAUUAAAUGCAUAAGAAGCUCGUAAGUUCUUUGAAAGAUGUGGAGUUAAACUAUCACUGACUACUACUUAUAAUCUGGAAGGGAAUGCAAAAAGCGAACGCGAUCACCCACCGAUUGUGAAAGCGUUAGUUAAAGCUUGUAAUGGGAAAGUUAAAGAGUUGCCACGACUUUUGUCAUUUACAUUAUGGGCUGAUCGAACAAUACAUAGUUCGGUGACAAGAUAUAUGCCAGUAGAACUUAUGACAGGUCAAAAACUAAUUAUGCCGAUUGAAGAAAAGGUACUUAUUUGGAGUAUGCUACCAUAGGAAGAUGGAUUGACAAGAGAAGAACUUUUGGCUAUUAGGAUUCGACAAUUGAAGCAAAGAACGGAAGAUGUCCAGAUAGCAUUGGAAAGGUUAAAAAGAGCUAGGUUAAAAAACAAGGCGUGAUUCGAUAAGCAACAUCGAUUGAGACCAAAAGCAAUCGAGGAAGGUGACUGGGUACUUGUUUAUGACAAUAGUCUAGAUAAUCAACAUAGUACUUUGCGAAAAUUUUCAAAACGUUGGUUUGGACCAUAUGUGGUAACAACAGUUCAUGAUAAUGCGACUUACUCGUUACGGGAGUUAGAUGGUACAAAAUUAAAAAUACCAAUUGUAGGGAAGCGAGUAAAAAUAUUUAAACAAAGACACGCAGAGAUGAAUAUCGAAGACCUUAAUGAAGGUAUAGAGAUUCCGCAGCAAGAAGAUGAAAGUAAUUUGGAUAAUGAAGGUGAUGAAGACAAACUGGACAAAGAUGCAGAGGAUAUAUUCUGAAUCAAACAACAAUUGGAUAAAUUGGUGCAUACCGGAGGAUGCAUAGGUUCAGAGGGGGUGGAUGUCGUGUUGUAACACGAGUAUGCCUUGAAAAUAUAAAGAAAGGGGACUUUUAUUAAUAUUCAGCUACCUCGAAUAUUGGGAGCAACAAUCAACUCCACUGCAAAUACUGAGUGGUCAGAUUCAGUCACUCCGUUACAAUCAGCCGGGGCAUACUGAAAUGCUCCAUUCGAUUCCAAUAACGGAAGUCAGCACGAAGGGAAAGGAUCAAUUCACGCAACGGCUGAGCCUGAUUCGAAGAGCCAAUUGGAUCUUAUUUCGAGAAUCCAAUCCGGGUCUUCUUACCCAAUAUGAGACCUGUAUUGAUCGGGCAACCCAAUGCAGUCUAAUUACGGGAAAAUCCAGGUCUUACUACGGGCCUUAGCCAAUCUGACGCGAAGACCAAUUGGACCCAAUUACGUGAACAUCCAGGUUACUACUGGCAUCUUACCCAAUAUGAGACCUGAAUUGGUCGGGCGACUCAAUGUGGACCCGAGUACGGGGUUUCGAUUCUGUUUCAUGCUGUCCUAUUCUCUGUGCCGUUUCAGGGAACGUUAUUUUCGGUAAUUGGAUCUCUUAAAGGUAAAAACUGAGGAGAAAGCUUUGAUGGCGAGAGCCAAUUUCGGAUCUAAGCUCUGACGGUGGGAGCCAAUUCCGGAUCCAAGAUGGAAGAUUGAAGAAAUUCAGAGGAUAAGGUUAGGGGGAGAAUAAGUUUUGAGGAGGGGUUUUUUUUUUUUCAGAUCAGAGGGGGGGGUUUUUUUUUAUCAAGGAGCUAGCUUCAAGCUUUUUUCAAGGUUACUAGUUCGGUUUUCAUUGGAGGUUUUUGGAGAUUAAGGGGAUUGGAGAGGAGCUUCAUGCUUCGGGUCGGGGAAGAAAAGACGGAGAAUUGGAUUUUUCUUCUUCAUAGAGUUUUGGGAAGACUGAGGCAAUCGUUGCUGAAGUCAGUGUUGUAAUGGUGAAUCGAGAUUUUUAAUGAAGUGGGUGUGAUCACUCCUGACUGUUUGUGAAAUCGAAUUACGUCUGUGAUUGAAGGAUUAAAAGGGUGUCUAUAGAAUUGAGUAUGUGGAGUGAAUGAAAUUUAUUGGGUUAAUCUAACAAGACAGUCAGUGGAUACAAGAUUGUAAGUACAAAGCGGUAUCAGAGAUUAACAGAUUGGGUUGUUUGGGGUUCUCUGUAAUGUCUAGAGACCUACCGGCUGGGGCAAAAGGGACUUCGACAAGCAGUCGAAGGGCAUCCGUAUAGAUUUACGGUGUAUUCUUGCAAUCGUUUAUAUUCCAGCAGUCAAAAACUGAUAGAUUGCUUGAUUAUUGGCGAAUCUCCAUACUACCUUCUACAGCCAGACGUCCGGCACGUUUUCGAGCAGAAAAGCACGUACUAUGACAACGGCAUAACCUUAUAAGCAAAGGUCCCUCAAUCCGUAGUAAAAGUAGUUUUUAACUGGUCUUCUUUUACAAUUUUAACUUCAUUGUAAUCGGAGAAUCCAUCAAGAAAUAAAUAACAUUCAUGUCUAAUGAUAGCAUCCAAAAUACUAUCCAUGAAUGGUAAAGAAAAAUAAUCCUUCUUGGUAGCUAUAUUUUAUUUGCAGAAAUCUUGAUAGAUGCAAAGUUUUCCAUUCUUUUUCGGUACCAUAACAAUUGGUGAAAUCCAUUCACUGAAAGGAACUAGAUAGAUAAAUCCAAUCUCUAAGAGUUUAUCCACUUGUUCUUUUACCAUAAGUGAGUAUUUUGGAUUAAGUCAAUGUUGUCUUUGGUGUAGUGAUGUAGUGGUCUCCUCCAAUAUAAUUCGAUGUUUACAAACUUCAGCUGGAAUUCCUUUCAAAUCUACAUAUGACCAUGUAAAAGUAGUUUUAUGCAUUAAAAAAUAAUCCACUCAAAUUUCUUUCUCUUUGCUUUUUAUAUUGUUGUAAAUCUGAAUGAUUUGGGAAGCCUCCUAUAUACCUAAAUUCAUUGGUUGACAUUGUGGAAUUUCAGGAGUCUCUCGAAUAAUGUUCUGCUCAAUUCCAAAAUCUUUCAUAGAAUUUGACACAUUAGAACUUUUCAACUCCAGUUCCAUAGUACUAAUGUGAUUAACAUCAUGUCUAUUCAUCUAAUAUGCAAUCAUAUGAUUAAAAUCAUCAAUAACAUCUACAGGAACUAAGUACUCUCCCGAUCCCCUACACUGGUAGUUCAUUCUAGUGUGCUUGACAACUUGCAUUGUAUCAGCAUAAAUUGGGUCAGGUGUACCAAUUUCUUCUUCUGUAGACUCAUCUUCACAAUCCGACGUGAAUUCUGAACUGGCCAAUUGAGUUUCUCCGUGAUAUUGGACAGGGUACAUUUGAAGCAUAAUUUUAUCAUUACCUUUUCCAAUUGUCAAUGUACCAUGGUCUCAGUCAUUUUGAGCUUUAGCUUGAUACAACCACGAUCAUCCCAAUAAAAUUAGGUAUGACAAUAUAGAGCUUCGUAAUUGAAAAAUAAUAUAAUCAAUUUUGUAGGUAAUCCUUGCAAUUACUGUAUCAAUACUUCGUAAAAUAUCCAUAGGUUUAACUUGACUAGAGUUAGCCAUUCUCAAAACUAUUGUACUAGGCAAUAAGUGAUCCAAACCCAACUCCUCCAUUGUAGUAGUAUUCAUAAGAUUUACACUAGAUCCUCCAUCUACUUGUACUCCUGAUAAUAACACUCCAUCAAUUGAGACAUCAAUCGUUGGUGCACUCGGAUCAAGAUUCAAACUUACUUCUUGGAUUUCUUUAUUUUGAGAUCUGCAAUGAAUUAAUGAGGAAUUCAAGAUAGUUUGGCACUCAGGUGCUACCGCAAUAGUUGCUUCAUAGAGAUUGUAGGCUGUAUGGUAUCCAAAUCUUUUAGAAUAUCAUAUGGUUUAAUAUUAGUUGUAAUUUCCAAUGUCUGUUUUUUCUUCCCAGUCCUAGACACAAAUGCAUGCAAAUUGGUUUUCACUAUAUUGGAAAUUAGUAAAGCUAUUGGAACUGAAUUUGAUGGAACUUGUAAAAUUGGUUCUUUCAACUUGUAAGAUUGUUCUCCUAAUUGGGCUGAUAUUGGUUCCUUGGAAUUUAUGCCUCUGAGAAGAUCUUUCAACGAAAAGGACGUUUCCCAAAACUAUGUAAAGAACAGAACAGCUUAAAAUAAAAUCGAAGCCUCCAUAAUCAGUACCUCAUUAGGAUGCACAAUCGAUUUAGGUCUUAUACUGAGUAAGGGGCCCAUCUCAAGACUUAGAUUAGAUGGCCCCGUAAUUGGGUCCAAUUGACCUUUCGCUUCAAGAUCACUCAAAUGUUGAAUUGGUCCUUUUCUCUUUUACUAUCUUCUUGUAAAGACAGCUUGGACUACUCUUACUUGAUGAACUGAUGAAUCUUGAGGACCUUGAUUUAUCUCCUCUAUUUUUCCUUGGCUUUGGAUCUACUAAUCUCAAUCAUUGAAAUCCAACGGAGCAUUAUAUUGUUGAUAAGUAUAUCUCGACUACUUGCAAUUCACACACACUGGCACAUAAUCGUCACUGGCUCUGGGAUUAGGACAUUCACUGGCAUAAUAAUCAAUCUGUCUGCAACGAAAACAACAAAGUGAUCUUCUUGCACCUCCAUCCGAUAUAUUGGGUGUCUCUGUCAGUAUAUACCUACUAGGCUUGUUCCAUAUAGGAUUAGAAAAUGAUCUUGAUUGUCCUAUUGGUAUGGAAGGUAUUUGGUUUGAUGAUGCUGGUGGAGCAUAUUGUUGAUACCUCUACUACUCCUUCUCAUAGUUUUGGGGAUUCGAUGCAGACCCCUGAUUAAAAUUAGAAUUUUGAAGUUAUUGAAGAUUCAAUUUUGUAGAUUAGAUCAAUUUCCAUUCCAUCCAUACAAUUCUUUUUUGUCGUUCCCAUAGGAGAUUUCUUAUGCAUAAUUGCUCCUAUCUUUCUUUUGCUUGUCGAUUAAUUCUUUGAUAAUCCUCCUCUUCAUGAUUAUCACUCAUAAUCUUUCAUUCUUCUUUACAAAAUCAAUAUUACCUUGAAUUAUAACUCACAUAUUUGUAACCCUAAAAUUGGUUCUUAUCACGUUCUCAUUUAACAUAUAAUUCCAUCUCCCAUACAAUCAAUUUCUAACAUUUCAUAUUAUUAUCAUUUCUCGGACAACGGCACCAAAAUUUUGUUCUCGUUGUAUUCAAGCUUCAAUAUACCAAAAUAAUUGAACUAAUAGAGGUGGGUUCGAACAUGGAAAAAGAUUGGUUAUAUGAAUUGGGUCUGUUAGUGUCACAAUUGACUAUACUCUCGCUAUCUGGAAUCAAUUAUCAAACUACAAAACACCAAAGCUUACUACUUCCAUCUUAAUUCAACACUUAAUCCAUUCUACAACUAUCAAUUCAACAAUACUUCCAUGUUCUUAUCCGUUCAUCUCCCACUUACUCUCUUUGUAGUUUAUAUAUAUUUAAUUACUGAUCUCCAGCUUAUCUAUUGUAUUUAGUUUUUUAAUUUAUCACAUAGAAUUCAAUAUCUCGGCUUACGACUGUCACAGUCUGGCACUCCAGACUAACUUCUCAGUAUUCAGAAACUAUCCAUUACUUAUCAACAAAAAAGAAACAAAAAGAGGUAGCACCAAGCUUGCCCCGGCUUAUGACUAUCACAAUCUGGCCUUGAUCUCCCUUUCCUCAACCUCUUUAUCCUACCAAAAGAUGGACCGUCAGCCAGCAGAUUCCAAAGAUUAUGACCCUUUAAAUUUUUAACCAUUUAUUCCACUAACAACCUACUUUUAUCAACUAAACUGCCUAACCAUUAGUCUAAUUCUCAAGAUUAUCAAUAACCAACUAGUAACUUACCUCAAAGUUUAUUUGCCUAUUUUACACCUUCAUAGUAACUUGUAAUCUUUACAUUUCACCUUUUGGCUAAUAAAUUUUAAGUUUUAACUUUUAACCUUUAAUAUUCUCACUUAAAUUUUAUCUUUAAUUUUUAAACUUAACUUUUAAUUUUAACUCUUAAACUUAAUCUUUAAUUUUAAAUUUUAACUUUAAUUUUUAAUUUUAACUUUUAACUUUAAUUUUUAAUUUUAACUUUUAGUUCAAACUUAAGUUUUUAUUCUUAUGAUCAAUUAACAGUAACUAUUUAGUUAAUUAUUUUUAAUAUAUUUACAUAAUAAAUUUAAUUGAAUAUUUUAAUUUCAUGUCAGUAAUCAUUGCUUGGAAGGGGUUAAUUUGAAUUGAACUACAAACAUCCAUAUUUAAAUUAACUCAACAAUUUCACAAUUGGAAGUCCUUCUAUUCUAUGUAUUGAACCUAUUGUGUGGCGUCAAUUUAAUGAAUGAUGAAUUUGGAGCUCACAACUAGAUUUCUUGCAAUCUUAAUUUUUUCUAUAGUUUAGUCCAAGGUCUUGCAAGGAAGUAGAAAUCCAUAAGUUUAGUAUAUCUCAACUUUUAUUGAUAGGUACAAGAGCUUUCAUGCAUGUUGUAAAUGAAAGGCCAUCUUUUGCUAUAUAUGCUAUGUCCAUUGUUGAUGGUGAGAAGAUAUCAAGUGGUAUUCUUAGUUAGUAUUAAGAUUUUUAGGAUAUUUUUGAAAAAAAGAAUGUAAAUAUUCUUCUAAAAUAUCGUCUUUAUGAUUGUACUAUACACCUUUAAGAAGAAAUUCAACCACCAUUUGAACCAAUCUAUAGCCUAUCACAAAAUAAGUUGGUUGCACUCAAAGAAUACAUUAAUAAAAACUUGGCUAAGAACUUUAUAUGCCAUUUUAAAUCUCUAAUGGAGGCUUCUAUCUUAUUUGUAAAAAAGAAAGAUGGAUCUUUGCAGAUGUGUGUGGAUUAUCAAAGACAUAACAAGAUCACUAUAAAGAAUAAAUAUCCUCUACCUUUGAUUUCAAGACUUCUUGAUUAACUAAAUCAAGCAAAGAUCUAUACAAAAAUAGAUCUAUAAAGAACAUAUAAUCUGAUCUACAUUAAAGAAAGAGAUGAAUGGAAGAUUGUUUUUCAAACUAUGUAUGGAUAUUUUGAAUAUAAUGUCAUGCUUUUUGGACUCACAAAUGUACUAGCUACUUUCUAAUAUCUAAUGAAUGAUGUCUUUCAUGAGUUGCUUGAUGAUUUUUUUGUCUGUUAUUUGAACAACAUUUUAAUCUAUUCUAAAAAUAUAAAAGAGCAUGAAGUUCAUGUUCAUUGUGUGUUAUAAAAACUAUGAGAUGCAAGAUUAUACAUGAAGAUAGAAAAUGAUAUAUUCUAUACUUCUUAAGUUGACUUUUUGGGAUACAUCAUUUCUAAUGAAGGCCUUAUGAUGGAUCUAAAGAAGGUCUAAUCUAUCAUAGAUUGAAAGAUCUGAAGAAUAGUAAGAGAUGUGCAAUGCUUUUUGAGCUUUUUCAAUUAUUACCAAAUCUUUAUCAAGAACUUUUUUCAAGUUGCAGCUCUACUUACAUGUUUGACUUGUAAAGACAAACUUAAGUAGAAUAAAAAAGCUGAAGCAUCGUUUGUUGUUUUAAAGAAGGGAUUUAUUUCUACACCAACUUUCUAUUGCGUCGACUUUUCUAAGGCAUUCUUUAUGGAAAUAAAUGCAUCAAACUUUGCCUUAGGUAUAGUAUUAUUACAAAUAGGAAUAGAUAACAAACUCCAUCCAGUAGCUUUUUAAUCUAGAAAAUAUUUAGUACCUAAGAUUAAUUAUGAGAUCUACAACAAAGAACUUGUAAUUGUGGAUUCAUUUCAAGAAUGGCAUCAUUAUCUAGAAGGUACUUCAAGUCCAAUUACAAUAUAUAUAGAUCACAAGAACCUCAAGUAUUUCAUGUUGGCACAUGUUUUGAAUCAUUGUCAAGCUUGUUGAAGUAUGUCAUCAUCAAAAUUUGAUUUCAAGUUCACAUAUCGAUCUAAAAAAUAACAAGAUUUAUAAGAUGUUCUUUUUAGACGCUCUUAUCUUGUACCAAAAAAAAGAAACGUAUCUUUAGAUCAAUAAAGAACAAUCUUAUUGAAACUAAAGUAUUUUCAUCUAUGAGCAAUGAAAUUAACAUUGACUAUUGAUUUAAUCUUUUUCAAACAAAUUCAAUGAAGUAUGUCCUUUGAUUCUCUUGUUCAUGAUAUUAAGAAUCUUUCUUCUAAAUUUCAUGAUAUUUCAAAGUUCAAGUUCAAGAACAACCUUCUUUAUUUUAAAAGAUGCAUAUAUAUAUUCCAAAAAAAGAAAUAUUUUUAUGUGUUCUUCAAGCACGUCAUGACUUUUCAGCAGCAAGACAUUUUAGAUAUAACAAGAAUUUAGAACUUAUACUUUGAGAUUUUUGGUGGCUGCAAAUGUGGAAGGCAAUAAAAGACUUUGUCCAGUCAUGUAACAUUAGUUCAAGAUUAAAAACUCCUUUUCAUCAACCCUAUGGACUUCUCCAACCAUUGCCUAUAUUCAAACAAUUAUAGUCUUUUAUUUCUAUGGAUUUUAUUACAAAUCUUCUAAGUUCAAGUUCAUAAGAUUGUAUAUUUGUAAUCAUAGAUUGCUUUACUAAAAUAGUACAUUUUCUAUUAUAUACAAAAUCUAUUUUAGGUAAAGAAAUAGCUAAGCUUUUUAUUGAUAAUAUCUAUCACUAUUAUGGAUUACCAAAGGAUAUUAUAUUGGUUAGGAGAACUCAAUUUAUAUCAAGAUUUUGAAAAAUCCUAUUCAAGAUUCUAAAGGUGGAUAUAAAGCUUUUUUUGGCUUUUUAUUCUAAAAUUAAUAGGCAAAUGGAAUGGAUGAAUUAAGUUCUAGAGUAGUAUUUGAGGUGUACCAUCAAUUAUCAUCAAGACGAUUGAACAAUUCUUUUGCCAUUAGUAGACUUUGUAUAUAAAAAUUUUGUAUAUUUUUCUACUCAACAAACACCUUCUUUUGCCAAUUAUGGUUAUCAUCUAUAACUUGAUAUUUUUUACUUUUCAAAAAUUGAUAAUCCUGCAAUGGAAGAUUUAGCAAAUCAUUUAUCAGAGCUAAAUGCAACAAUAAAGAUAUAAUUAAAAGAAGCUCAAGAAUGACAAAAGACCUAUAUAGAUGCCUAUUGUAAAAAGCAACAACAAUUCAAUGUAAGUAAUAAGAUAUGGUUACUUCAUCACAAUAUCAAGACUAUUUGUUCUUAUAAUAAAUUGGACUAUUGUAGGCUCAGAUCUUUUUCUAUUUAUAAAUAAAUAAAUCUUAUUGCUUAUUGAUUAUAUCUAUUAGAGUCUAUAAAGAUCUAUCGUGUAUUUCACAUGUCCCUUCUUGAGCCGUAUAAGACAAUGAAUAUUUCAAGAAGAAGAUAAAUGCUACCUCUUCUUAUAGAAAUGGAUAAUAAUUAAGGAUUCAAAGUGGAAGAAGUCUUAGAUUCAAGGCGGCACCAAAAUAGGUUGAAAUAUCUUGUUUAUUGAUGUGGAUAUGAUAUUAAUGAACAAACAUAAAAGCUAGUAAAGAAUCUUGAAAAUACAAUAAAAAAAGUUUAAGCCUUUUAUUGAUGACAUCCAUCAAAACUAAAAUAAAGAAUUGCAAAGAUCCAUAAAAGAUGAUGACUGCUCCUCAUAGAACUUGUCUUUAGAAGCUUCAUAGAUACAAUUUUGAUUUUAGAUGUGUUUGUAGGUUAGAAACUUAGCCAACAAAUUAACCACAUAUUGGUAGCUUGUAGAAAAAAUUAACUUCAUAUAAUAGCUUAUUUUACAACUUAAUUAUAUAGUACAUACAUAGAUAAUUUGCCUUGUAAGUUAAGACAUGUAGCUAGCAAAGUCAAUUCAUGUUGGAGAUCUUAUAGAAUAUUGACAUAUAGCUCCUAAUUAGAGAGUAUAUAUGGAAGGAAGAGUGAAGCCUUCUUCACUCUUAUCAAUGCCUUUCUAGUCCUUAGUCUUGUUUCAAGACUUUCUAGUCUUUUUGUUUUUAGAAAUAGUCAUUCUAGUUCAAUAUUAUAUCAUCUUUGAAUGACUUUUUAGUUCUUUUUAGUGAUACAAGACUAUAUUGAGGAUUUUCUUUCUUCAAGAUUCAUGUCCUUGAGACAAGAAAACUAAUUGACAGUAAAUUUUAUUUCAAAGAUGAUACAAAUAAAACAUUAUUUACCUUCUUUUAUUUUAUAUUAUCUAUUUUUAUAUAAAUUUCUUCUUAUUUAGAUGUAAUAUAUGAUUUAUCACUAAUAAUUCUUAUUUUAUAAAAUUAACUUAUCGAUUUGAAAAAACUUAAACUUGACUUAUUAUUUAUUACAUGUUGUGAAGUUCCAGUAUCAAGAUAUUAAUUUAAGUCUUUUUUUUUUUUCUUUUGAGAUUUUUGUAAGAUUAACUUUUAUUUUUUAAAAUUUUUCUACUUAUUUAAAAUUUAAUGAAUUAUCUUCAGCUUCAAUAAUAUUUAUUAUAGAUUUAUUAAUAAUUAGUGGUGACUUUUUGAACUUACAGUCUUUUGCUAUAUGAUUUAAUUUUUUACAUACAUAAUGAUAGAUUAAGUGUGCUUCUUCUUUAAAAUAGAGACUUUUCAUAACACCUUUUCUUCUCAAGAAAGAGCAUCUACCUCUAUGAUAUAAGUAAUUUCUUUCAAUUCUUAUAAAUCUUAUAUUAAAAUCAGCUCUUGAAAUUUGUAUCAAAAGUACCUUGCUUUUAGAAUUUUUAUUGGUAUUAGCUCUUAACUAUAAUUUGUGAGCUUAUAUUAUAAGUCUUAAUGAUAUUUUUUUAAAAUUUAGAAAUUAAGUUUUUUAAAAUUAUUCAUGUCAAACUAUAUACUAUAUUAUCAAAGAAAGAAGAUAAGUCAUUCGGAAUAGUUUGUACAAGAGUCUUGAUUGGAACUUUUGUACUGAGAGUACCAAGUUUAUUUUUAAUUUUAUGAACUGUCUUUAAGAACUCUUCUAUAAAAGUAAAAUUUUAAAAUUUCAAAGUUUAUAGUUUAUAGCUGAGAUUAAGUACCAUAACAAGAUCUUUACUUUCAUAUUUGUCUUUCAAUGUCUUCUAUGUAUCUACAAGGUCUUCAUAUUUUGUCACUAUAUCUAUUAAAUAAUCCUUUAUAGUAAAAUUUGAUAUCUUCAUUGCUUUUGCCUUCAUUUCUUAUACUUAGAUUUUUGACAAUAAACAUCUAGUAAAUGAACAUGGAUAUAUUGGUGGUGAGAGUUUCUCAACAAUGAGAUCCUAUAAGUUUUUAUCUUAUAUAAAAGCCUUCAUCUUCACCAACCAACUUAUUAGCCUUGCCAACCUACAAGAGAUCACCAAAAUUUGAAAUAUCACUGGAAUUUAACAAAUGCUUUCUUCAACAAAUAAAUGUGCACAAGAUUUGUUCACAAGAGGUUCUUAUAAAGUCUCUAAGCCUUAUUUUAAUAUCAUAUAGAAAUUAUUCAUAUAAAAAGAAAGUUUUUUUUAUUCACGUUGAACUAAUCAUUUAUAUAUUUUAAAUUAUUUGAAGAGAUUCACAUGCAUUCUAUUUUUAAAAAUAUAUUUAAACUUUGAAUCCAUCCUCAAAUAUAUCUAAUUUAUACUCUUACCUUACUAUAUUGAUUAGUGUAGAUAUGAAAUUCAUCCAUAUAUCAGCUAGGUAUUAAUCUUGUAUGAAGGAAGAUACUUUAGGUGCCUAUUUUGCCAAUAGUAAGGUCUAUCACAGAAGAAUAAUUUGUUUUGCAAUUCCUUCAAGAUCUAUGAUAAAUCACAUUAGAUAAUAGCUUAUUUCAACCAUGGUAUCUAUGGAUUGUAGUAUUUUGACAACAAACCCACUUAGUAAGAGUAAAAUUAUAAUCUAUGAAGAUAGAUAUUAUAAGUUGAGACUCAAUGGCAACUAAAUCAAACUACAACCUUUUUACAUCAUUAUCCUAUACAUAGACAUAGAAGUUUGCAUCAAAUUACAUACACUUAUUUUUUUUACUACACCCUAUUGUAGCAUCAUUAAUUAUAUUAUUACCAACAUGUGGCUAAUUUGCACUCAAUGCAAGCUAAAAAAAAUCUUUGAGUUGCAUUAGACAUCACUUUGCAAUGAUUCCAAUUAAGAAAAAACUCAAUAUUUUAACACAACUAAAAAAAAAUUUGAUCCAAAACCUUUAUCAACCAAACAAAUAUUAGUAGUAGAAUGUAAAUGCAAAAGAAUAGCCCAAUCUAUACAAGAUCCUUAUAUAACACACUAUCUAGGAAUUAAACCAUUUUAACAAUUGUUGUAAUGUGACACCAUAUUAUGACAAUAAUUCUCGAUGUUUCUUUAGUAACUAGUGAUUUACUACUUAAAAGUAUAACUUUUUUUAGAAAUAAAUAUGAAUUCUAAAAAUAAAGAUUAAUAUUAUAUCUUAAUAUUUUUAUUUUAAGUGAUAUGCUCUUAGUAUUAAAAUGAAAGAUUAUGGAUACUAAUCUUUUAAUCUGCACAUGAAUAAAAGUAUUUUUGAUUACUAAAAUAUUAAAUAUAUUUUUUUGAUUUCUUGAUUUCUUUUAAGAUUUUAUUUCAAUAAAAAUUUCAUCAUUCAUUUCUUUAUUCUUUCUUAUCUUCAUAAAAAAUAUCAAUAAAAAAUAAUUUAAUCACUAUUCAAAGUUUCAAUGGUUCUAAAUUUUAUCUCUAGAAAUGGCAACUUUAAAACUUCUUUUGUACAAAAGGUCUCAUAUAAUGUAUUAAUGGUUUAGAUAAAAAUAAAUCAUAUAAUGACAAGCAGAAUGUAAAACAUUGCAAUGCUUAUACUCUUCUUAUUUCAUUUAUUGAAAGAUAAUUUCUUGCUACUUUGACCACUUAUUUAACACCACAAGUUAUUUGGAAUUAUCUUUUUGAGGAGCAUGAAUACAAAAAUAAUGAUAAUAUUUAUUUUUUACAUUGUCAAUUUUUUGAUGCAAAAUUAGAAUAAGAUCAAUCUAAAUCUAGCUUCAUUGCAAAGCUCAAAUUUGUUAUGAAUGAACUCUGUAAGGUAGAUGAUAUGACAUUCUCUGAUGCUUUUACGAUAUCAAAGCUUACAACUAAUUUACCUGCUAGAUUUUAUUCUUUAGUUACUGCAUAGAAAAGUACUCCUAAAGAUGAUUAUAAUCUUACUAAUCUUAAGCUUAGGUUACAAAAAGAAGAAAAGAAGAUAUUACAUUACAUACAAUAAGAUUCUAUUUUUGAUUCUAAAGCAUCAUACGCUAACCAUCAAUAUUUUUUUACUACUAAAAAUUCUAAAACUUCACCAAAUAGUAGUAGAUUCUAUCUACGUGGUUUUUCAAAUUUGGAUAAGAAUAUCUAAAUUUAUUUCAAGAAAAUUAUUAUCGGCCUUAUUAUUUAAAAAUUGAUUUUCAUACUCAAGCUGCAUAUAUUGAAUCAUUGGAUUCUUUAUAUGCAAAUCUUUAUUAAAAACACUCAUUCUUCAAUAUAGAAUAAUAUACUAUGAUCUUUGAUAUUAAGAAUCAUAAUGAUAUUAAUUCUCAUGAAUAUGAUCAAUCUUCAUUAGAUUUUCCAUUUUUUGAAAUUACUUGAGCCUACAAUGGUUUAUCAUAUGGAAGUCAUUUAGAUGGUUGGAUUAUUAAUAGUAGUACUAUUGAUUACAUGAUAGAACAAAUUCAUUGGUUUGUAAAUUAUAAAUCCUUAUUAUUAGAUUGAAUAUGGUCUAUUGAAACUUCCACAAGUUAUCAUUGUUUUGUGAUAGGUAUUAGAGAUAUUUAGAUUCUUGUACAAUUACUUAAUAAAAUUGAAGUUCAUUUAUUCACACAAGUUUUAUGUAUUCUUAGAUUUAAAAGAAAUUUAUUUAGUCUCACCAAAUUUGCUUGAAAACAUAAAACAUUUAUACUCUAUAAACACAAUACUUGCAAGUUCUUUCAAGAAAACAACCUCAUCAUAAUAAGAAGGAUAUUUCGUGGUUCUUAUCUUCUUCAAUUCACCAUCUUAUUUCCUUUUGCAGUUGCUCCUUAUGCAAUAUCUUAUGGAAAUUUAUCUUUCUCGGUAGAACUUCAAGAUAUUCAAAAUUGGCACCUUUGACUAGAUUACCUACAUGAUGAUAUGCUACAAAAAAUGGCCAAUAAUGGCUUUAUAAGCAAACUAAGACUAAAGACAAUAGAACAUCCUAUCUUAUGCUCUAACUAUACAUUUAAUAAAUCACACUACACUUCUUUUUUUAAGAAUAUUAAUAGAAUUAAAACAACACAUCUAAAAAAGCUGAUCAAUUGUGAUAUUAGUGGACUAAUGAGUGUUUCUUUCUAUGGUAGAUCUUUUUAUUAUAUAUUAUUUUAGAAUGAUUACACACAUUAAAAAUUUAUUUUUUCUAUUUGUAGGAAAUCUGAUAUUUUAAAAUGUUUUUAGCAAGUAUACAAGAUUAUUCUUCAAGAUCCUAAUCAUCAAGUAUUUACUCUAAGAACCAAUAAUAUUGGUGAAUUUUAUAAUAGAAACUUUAUUGAUUUUUUUUAUAUACAUAGAUCAAAUAGAACUUGUUCUUUUUUAUAUUCAAAUAUAGAACAUUGUUUUUAAACAAAACAAUAAAAUAAUUAUAGAUGCAAUUUACAAUAUGAUCUAUUAUGCAAAAUUGACACUUCAUUCUAAGCAAAGACAAUGAAUAACAUUAUAUAUACACUGAACAGUAUUUAUUCAUCAUUAAAUCUAAAUAUGACACCUUUUGGAGACUUCUAAUCAUCCAAUGAUUUUUAAUUUUUAUACAAUUGAUUUAUUAAAUUCCAUUGUUUUAUGGCAUGAUUUUUUAUUUGAAAAUAUAUUAGGUACCUAGUUGUAGAAAGUUUAGCUUUAAUUUAUUAGUCAAGUUUCAAUAAGUGAUAUAUUCUUAUUAUAGAAGAAAAAUAAAUAUAAUAAUAUAAAAAGAUAUUCUAUUAAAAAAUAUAUAUUAAUAUUUAAGAAGCUUUAUAUAAAAGGCUUUCUAAAGCAUCUAAAAAUGCCCUAACAUCUCUUGUUAUACCAAAUCAUAACUAAUUAUUUGUUAGUAAGUUAGAUUUUUUAUAAGUUGAAAGAAAAUCCAUGAUUUCCUUACAAAAAUUUAUCAUUAUAUCAUAAUUUUUUCAUAGCUUCAUAUCUCCAUUUUUUACAUAUAUAUAAAGUCUUAGCUUCCAAAAAUCUCUUUACUUUGCAUAAAAUGCUCAAAUUGCAACAAAACCUUUUCAAAACAUUUUUCUCCCACAAAAAAUUUCUUUUCUUUAAACUUUAAAAAUUUAUAUCUCUUGAUCCAAAUAUUUAGUUUUUUUCAAACUUCUAGAUAAUUUAGAAUUUAUUCUGAAGCUUUACUAUAGAAAAAAAUCAACCAUAAAUCUACUUUCAAUUGUCUUGCAUCUUAGAAAUCCUAAUAUGUGUAUUAAACCCUAAUUUACAAAUACUUGAGUACUAUUUUUUCCAUAUCUCAAAAAUCGAAAAUUUAAGUGCUAUAAAAUUUGAUUUGUAGCUUUAUAACAUAUUAGUACAUAUUUAUGGAAAAAUUUAGCUAAAGAUUAGUUCAAAUGCCUAAGAUAUGGCUAGAACUAAAUUCCUUAUGAAAUUGGUUUACUAACAAAUCUCAAUUUGGAAGUGUUGUCUUCAAUCAAUCAUUUCUCUUUAAAAUCAACUCUUAACCUUUUGUCUUUUUUGUGAAAAAUCUAAUCCUUUAAACCAGCUUUUUAAUUGCAUAAUCCAAUCCUCAAAAGCCCUUCAUGCGUGUGCACUAUGCCCCAAAGCUUGACAAUAGAUACAAAAUUGAUACCUUGACUUUGAGCGCCUAUAUCUCCUUCAUAAAAGCUCCAAAUCAUAUAAUAUUUUCACCAAAAUCAUAUCCAAAAUCUUAAACUUAAUGACUUAAAUCUUUGAUAUUUGAAUGGCCUCGAAGGAGCAACCCUAAUUCAUAAUAAGGCCUUAGACAACCUCCUUGAAGUCUAUUAGGCAUGAAUUUUGGCCAAUAGAAAUAGAGAUUUUCAUCAUCCAUCUCUAUUCAUCUAUAUGACUGACCUAACUAUUCUUUUUUAUACAAAAUUCUUCUCUAGUCAUUUUGCUAAUAAGUUUUAUAUAAUAUGUGUCCCAAAUACUAAAUAAAAGAAACAAAAUAAGAUUUUAAGAGUCCCCAAUGUCUAAUAAAGGUGAUUCUAAAUAUAUAAAAACUAUUAUCAAUAUAAAAUCAACUUUAAUAAUAGCCCUUUUAAACUAACUACUUCAAAGUAAUAAUCUAAUCAUAUUUUGUAACCAACUAAAAUCUAAUAACAUAGCUUUUACUACAUUGUAUAAUAAAUUAUAUAUAUAUAUAUAUAUAUAUAUAUAUAUUAUAUAUAUAUAUAUGCAUUAUUUUCAUAUAAUAGUCAAACCACAAUACAAUACUAUAGAAACAAAUCAUUCUUCAUCUAAUAUACUAAAACAUCAAUCAAGAGCAUUUGAAGAUACAAGUAGUGGAAGUACAUCCAUUCAUUUUCAUGAUGCUAUGUUGUUUGAAGAAUUUUUUGAUAUCUCCGCACUACUCUAAACUUCAAGCUAGUUUACAAUGGGACUAUCUCUUAGACUCUACUUACUGCAUAUGUUGAUUAUGCAGUGGAUGAUGACAGAAAAUCUCACAGUGGAUACAUUCUUUUUAUGAAUGGAGGACCGAUCAGCUAGGGGUCAAAAAAACAAGCCUGUCUUGUUGACAGUAUGACAUAUUCUGAGUUACUUGUUAUAUGGCCACAAAAGAGAGGCUCCUUGCUAAUCUAGGAUUUUCUAAAGACACAUCAAUAGUCUUAUACUUUGACUCCCAAAGUGCUAUCAGGCAGGCACUUAAUCCUAAAUUUCACUCACAAACUAAGUAUGUGGAUAUUAAGUAUCAUAUGAUCGGAGAACAAAUUCAGAAUGGACUCCUACAAAUUGACUACAUCUCUACUCAUGACAAUGAUGCCUAAGUAUUCACAAAACCAUUAACUCCAAAAAAGUUCAAGCAAAUAUGUGCUUCUCACCAUACAUCCAGGAUGAUAUUUAACUUCUCUAUCAAAGUGGGAGACUUACUUCAUGUAAUGUCAAUAGAGAAGUUUUUCUUUUAGUGGGAGUUUAAAAACUAAUGACUUACUAGUUAAAAGUAUAACUUCUCUUCAAGAUAUAAAUAUGAAUUCUGAAAAUAAAGAUUAAUAUUACACAUUGAUAUCUGUGUUUUAAGUGAUGUGCUUUUAGUAUUAAAACAAAAGUUUCAACAGAACCCACCGUAAAUAAACUAAUGGAAAGACGACAACUAAAGUACAAAUUUAUAGCUGAUAAGCUAUCAGCAGUUGAUCCCGCACUCCGUAAUAUCGGGACCCGUCACCUUUGCCAGGAAUGGAUCAAUGCGCACCCAAAGUAGGGAGAAGAUGGAAGCCAGCAGGAUGGACCACACGAUCACGAUGGUGGGUGUGCGGUUCUGCCGUCCCAUCAGACCCUUCAGGAACGGAUACAAGUGCACGAUCACCCAGAAAGCAAAGAACAGCUUGCCGAACAGCGGACCCCAAGACUGGUACCCGUUGUUGAUGGCGUCUGAAAUCCCCGCCACCACGCCGAUCAUGUUGAUCACCAGUAGAGUGGUGGGCGGGAUCAGAAGGGCAGUCCACUUGAUCAUGUACAGCUCCGCGAAGUCUUCAUCUUCGGCUUGUUUGGACGUCACCGUGAAGUUAGUGUCGAUACCCGCUAACACUUUGAGUAGCCCUUGGAACAGCGCGAACAAAUGGGCCGAUACACCUCCGAUCACCCAGAACUGCUCGUUCCUCCACCAUUCGUCGAUGCCCACUCCUGACCACCGCAUUUCCAAUAUACCAGUCGCAAAAAUGGAGAUGAACAACGAUAUGAACCACAGACUAUCUAAAUUAGUAAUCUGCACACACCACGCGGCAUAAGCAACGAUUCAGGAAGACCAUCGCCUAACCUUCCACCCACAACCACAUCCCAGCUGAAGCUACGAGAUAAUCCUCAGGGUGCCAUUCAUCAAGUACGGUAACGCCUCAAGCAGGCACGAGAUACAGACGGCCAGUACCGUGGGAAUAAUGAACUUUCCGGUCAGCAAACACACAGCAGGGAGCACGCAGUACGCCAGCAGUGGCAACGACGUCAGUGGAUAGAUCGUCGUGUUUAUGUACGCUAGCCUCUCUAGACAUUUCAGUUCACCAUGCUUCCCUCCGCCAUACCCGUACCACAGAGGGCAAUGCCGGCUAAGAGAAAUCUCCACAGACCCCAGAGCCCAACGCAGCACUUGUUGCAGCCGAUCCGACAAAUUAAUGGGAGCAGAACCCUUGAAUGCAGCCCGCGCUGGCAUGCAGUAGAUGGACCGCCAUCCCCGGCAGUGCAUUUUGAACCCUGUCAGAAUAUCCUCCGUCACAGACCCGUAGAUCCACCCGAUCUGAACCAACGGACCAAACAGGGUGCAAUGAUGUUAUGUACUUGGUACAUCGUGCAUAAAAACACCGACACAAACCAACUACCCCGCCCUCCACUAUUCUUCAGGUGCAGUGUGCACUAUGAGAAGAACUACACACGAAAAGAGUAGGAAACGUCAUGGAUCCUCCAACCCCAUCAUCUCAGAACUUACCUCCUUCCCCCAAUCCGUUUUAUCUUCGUACCCACAACUGAUCACAUGAAUGGCCUCCUUCAACAAUGACCCUGGACUGGUGGAGAGCGGCACGCCUCCACUCUCCAGGACCGUCGACGCGACAAAGAUUGGAGACUGACCAAACCGCAUCUCCAAGUUUUGCGACGACAUAAGCGACGCCUUCUCCUCGUCCAUUCCUGCGUCCACACAUUAACCCACUCUUAUAACACUCCGCUGCAUUUUACCAUAGAAGAGACGUCCACCACUCGUCAACGUACAGCCCAAUCUUCAGCUCAUGAUCAACACUUACUGCUCCGACAACCCACAUAACAAAGAAACUUGUACCAUCAUCAGACCAAUCACAGAACACGCCGUGCCCUCGAUACCUUCCUCGAUAUCCUCCACGUCCAAAAUGGGAAUACUGGACUCGGUACGCAAUGGCGGCCGCUUCUUUCCACCCUUCCCCGCUCUUGCAUUUUGAAGACCUUUCUUAAGGGGUCCGCAAAGCCAGGAUGGAAACACGCUCUGGCUGCGACCACUCGAUGCUUUAGGAUCUUUGGGAGGAGGAUCGUAACCAUAAAUGGCUCGCCUCUUGAAACAGCACCCCGUACCCACAUAAACUGGGCCCUGCACGCCAUCUAAACCCUUCAAGUUGAUCUGCGCACCACACAUCACCAGUACCCACCAGUGAAUCUCCCGCACACGCACAGUACCAGAUGAAAAUCGCCUGGAUCGUUACAUGCCCCAAAGGCGAUCAUAAAUGCCAAGACAUCGACAAGAAUGCCAUCUAGUGGGCUGCGCCUUGAACUCUAUGCUGCUAAAUUGUCCAUAAACGACGCCGCACCAAUACUCAUCCACGUUUCAAUCACGGACAACGUCCGCAACCUGCCAUCAUUGAACCAACUGCAUGACGGCAUUCUAAGGUGCACUCCACCCAUACACAUGCCCAAGUCCCAAUUCCAGAUCGGAACACUUACGUCGAAGAAGACAGUGUUGUGGUUGGCAUAUCGAUCGUUUCUGUCAAUCCCAUCAAACCGCUGAGGGAACUGGACGUAGCACACUCUCUUCCCCACGAUGGGAUCCAUCAGGAAGCACAUCGCCUCCCGAAGAGCCUUGCUGUUGUUGAUGUAAUGAUCACAAUCCAGAUUCAGAAAGAAUGGUGCGUUUGUCAGCACUGCGGACACCCGAACCAGCGCGUUCAUGGCACCGGCUUUCUUGUGGUGAUUGAAUCCAGGCCGUUUCUCCCUCGACACAUACACCAGCCGCGGCAACUCGUUUCCUUCCGUGUCAUGACCGCCGCUGUGUCCCAGAAAGACCUACCAUCGUGACACAGUCGUUCACAAACGGUCACCAAGUCGCACAACAGGUGCAUCGCGGCAACAGGACAAAGCGGAGCCUCCCACAUUCAUCAGCUACCUCUUCAUACCCACCUCUGCUACUCACUUGUUAUUGGGACAAACCUGUGCCGCAGUAUGGGAGGAUCGCACUAACCUGUAUCAUUCCGGGAUGGUCACGUGUGUUGUUCCCAGGCCACGGUGUGCCAUCCUGCAUUGUCCAUCCUUCGUCGGGCAUCUUCUGCGCCUUAGCGACCAACGCAUUCACCCGCACUUUAAACUCCUCGUACUCCCUCUGCGUAUACCCAUUCCCUCUCACCACAUCAGUAACUACGGGCAGAUCCUUCACGAACCACUACGACACCACACAUAAUGCGGACGGUGUUCAUGAACUGCAACACCACAGCCAACGCAUGCAAUCCAAGUGCGUGCACCGUCAGGAUCGAUCAACAUUACCUAUCCACCAACAAAAGCAUGCAACUCCUCUCAUGCACGGCACCGUCCACAGGUCAGCUCAUGUCACCUCACCUUCAUAGCUCUGCGCUCCUUCACGAAAGUCGGUUGCACCUUGUCCUUCAAGUAAUCGAUCUUCAGAGCAAAGUACACCUCAGGUGCCCGGGGCUCGAUGUUGAACUUCUUGCAGAACGGCACCCACUUUCGAGCGAACUCCGACGUCUCCGACAAAACCUCAAAGGUCAGCAUGGACGCUCCAUCAUCAGAUAUGUAGCAAGACACCUUAUCCACUGGAUAGUCCACAGCCAGAAUCGACAGCACAGUGUUGGCAGUCACCAGGGGUGGCUCCUUCAUGGGAUCCACCGUACUGACAUAAAUGUCCACCGGCGCCAACUGAGACGGCUCCCCUUCUUUCUCAAACCUGCACCAACGCCCGCAACAACGUCGCAAAGUCAUGGACCACAUACGACAUCUACUAGUGACCACGACGACAAUUGCAGACUUAUAACUACAGCAGCAUUGAACGGAACUGCCGUAACACUCUCAUACCAACACAGUCUGCGCCCUCCCGGGCCAUUGGGAGACGCCUGGAGUCCACCAACUAGGAUCCUACACUGCCAAGUGUUCAAUCGAACCCAAUCACUUGCAAUGCCUAAGCUUCGUGCCUUAACAAACUCUGCCUGUCACAGCUGCGUGCGAGGUCCACAGAACGUACCUCAGGGAAAGUCGAUCUAGGUAAGUCUCACGGUUGAUGGGUAGCCACUUCGGGAACUGAUCCAGGAUCCACGAUAUGCCGAACCAAAUCUCGCAGAUCACCGACACCAGCCAAAGUCCGUACGCUUCGUUCACGGGGUUCAAGAUACGGUAUCGGAAGAACAGGCAAAUCACAACCAGGCGAAUUACGAUAAUCAUCCGGUAGGGGUUGAUCUUGCUCGAUGGGAAUGGAACUUUCCUCGAUAAAGGCUGUCUCGAUUCGUCCAUUCUACAGUACGUGACCGACAAUCACAGUCAGUUCAUCCACAACCUCCAAAAUCCAUUCGACGCCACAUUACGGCACUUAUGGAUCGCCAUAUAUCCUAGUGCUUUGCGACAUCCAAGAAAGAGCUGCACCGUUCUAGCAUCAAGUGAAACCACACAUCUUACAGUAGCACGAAGAUCUUUCAAAACUCCGUUGUCUGGAGAGGCCUGCCUGGGAACAUAUUCAGAAAAGCGGGGCAACCCAGGCGCCUGACACGGAGUUUGAACACACUCGACCCAACUUUGCAUACAAGUUUAAACCAUAAACCUCACAUGGGCAGAUCCGAGCAAUCGAGGCCGCUGCCAUCAUAACCUCCCUCUCCACUUGCUUGAAGCUGGCCUCCCUCUCUCAUCGUCAUCUGCAUUCCCUGUCUUGACUUCCAGCUCUCCACCCUCUCUUUCCAGACGACGUUCCCAUACCCAUCCGAGCCCGCAUCCUUAGCCGAGUCCAAUGCUCUGACUGUUGUGAAUAUUCAAUCCGUCAGUCGUCCAUGUCCAUGGCCUCCGCAAUUGCGAUCCAUCGUACGCAAAUAGACUUGAAAAUACCACGAUUCUCAUGCAUUUAUGUACAGCCUAUUUGGUUCUCCUCUCUACACCGACAUACAGCGAAUGAUGACAUCGCAUUUUCCACGCAGCCAAUCAUAGAGAGAAUGCUUCAAGUAAUUCCAACGCAAAUCGUAGAUUUCCAAUGUCUCACCUGGGGUGCCAAUGUCGCUGUAAGAGGUGGCAUGAGUCAAUCUCCUUCCCGUAACAGGGAAAAUCGCUUGACGAUCAGGAGACAUUGCAUCUGAAUCACUUGUUACAGACACCUGCGCGUUCAACAUUGAAUCAGCCCUGAUAGACCCAAACACCACCACCACGCAAGGCACCAUCCACCAUCUCUACACCACACGACCGACCGACCACGAUUCCAUGUCGCAGCUUCACACAAAUCCGAAUUCCACACCCGAAACGCAUUCAAUCUAACGUGUGGUCACCCGCUUAUGUGACGAAAAUUAGCGCCACAGGAAAUUUUCGCAGAGAACAAAGCUAGGUCAUAACCACUUCGUCUAGCCCCCAAAAACAUCCAAACGUACUGUGUGACGGUGCCUAUCCGUAAGAAGGGGAUACGUAGGCUGCAUUGCAGACAGCGUCACGUCCAUGUCCCGACCAUAAGCCAUCUGGCUGUGAAGCAUCUCGUCCACAACUUGCUGUUCGUCGCGCUUGCCCAAAUCUCCAUCGUGGUUAAACUCGUUGUCUAGGUCGUCGGAGUCCUCUUCUUCAUCGUCUCCUUUCACUCGAGGACUCCCUGCAGUCCAAGGCGCCACAAGUGCAUGUCAAUCACUGAGUUAAAAUAUGUCAGCACAUGCACAUCCCUCAACCACAAACGCUCUUUUACAUCAUGAUAAGAUUUUAGGGACUGCCUCUGUGACACCACAGCUCAGAAAUGUCCUAGAAGACAUGGUCCUGGAGAAUCUUACCUUUGUGGCGUUUGUAGCGAGUCCGACAUUGAGGACAUGCCUGAGUACCAUCCUUCCGUUCGUACUCGUAGCAAGGUCGGCACACCGGGAAGCCGCAUUCAUCGCACGCCACAAAUAUCUCUCGUCUCAUGUUCAAUCCCACAUCGUCACCACAAAUUUGACAAAUUCGGCUGUCCACAUAACUUAACGGUUUCGGCUGCACACAAGCAAAAACAAAGUUCUCAAGACUAUUAACUAGUUUCACAAUAGGUACUUGUUGCUUCGUUCAGCAAGAUUCAUAAAUCCGCCUCAAUCCAGAAGAGUUUAAGCCUGCAGCGAGUUCUAGACAUCAUAGAUAGGAAACGGGAAGGGAUUCAACGUCUUCUGCAGAACUAGAGAAUUGCUAGUAAAACUUCCUUCUGUAUUUCAUGAGAACUAGUGUAAACACGACCUCGUCUCGCAUUCUAUGAUAGCAUUUCAAGGAUCCUCUUCAAACGUUAAGAUGGAAAUACUGGAGAGUUGGUGGACAAAUUAGGGCAUCAUUUAAGAACUUCUUGUAAAUACGCUAGUAAUAGAGUCGUCGCAAUCGAGCUUGUUAACGUGAUUGCAUGGAUACUUAACGUCGUUGCUUCCCUUCUUGGAGUCACACUGUUUUCUAGACACAGAAAAAUGGACAAGACAAGAUCUAUGGACAAUGUUGGUAUCGCAGUUGAAGGCUUCAGUAUGGAAAAUGACCGACUCCGAGUAGCAUGCAUUGCAGACACAACGCAGCAAAGAGCUUCCUCACCCCGUCGCCUUCCUGCCGGAUGACAACCAGCUCGUUCCGAUUGUGCGAGCCCGCCAGAAGCCCUGGACUCGACUCCAUGCUGCCGAAAUCCCUCCCUCCUCCACUUCUCCUGCUUGCCCCCAACGAUCCAAUCCCUGUCUAUACCCCGCACCUAGGCGACUUAGGAAAUAUGUCCCGCUCUUUCCUCACCGGCCUCGCCUCGCCUCGCCUCCGAGUGAUCAUCUCCCUCGCCCCUCCAGCAGAAGAUGACGAUGAUUCAAGAGGAAACAAGACGAUUGAGCUGAAAUUAUUGAUGGGCGGAAAAGGAGGCGACGACGGCUAUGUUUGCUUGGCCAGCUCCCUCCACAUUACCCCGUUUCUCCACCUGAAUCUCUACUCUACACACUGACAGUUCAAAAAAGAUCUCAUCCUUUUGCAGACCUCUCUUGACCACCCUCUACAAUGACCUCUGAAACUCUCACAAAACUCCUCAAGAACUCAGACAGAGCCUCCACAAACCGACUCUUACGUUGAGCCUCUCAUGGAACCCAAAAAACAUUUCAGUUCACAGGCCACUUUUUUAACACCUCCAGCUCUGGUAGACAUCACAUCUGAAUUUUACUCGUGAUCGUAAGAUUCGGAAAGUCGUUGAAAAGGCCUCAGGUUGAGGCUUAAAUUAUUAAUGCAGACAGGAAAUCGGGGGACAUGUGUUGCGGACACACGCUAUUAAUAAUGCUCCAGGCUCUGGCCUUACCGUCGUAGCAUGAAGUUUGGAUGAACGAGGUAAGUGCUGAUGUUGCACAAGUCGUUUCGUGCUCGUGCAUCAGCCGUUCUUGCCUUCAUUCAUCGUAUCCCUUCCAGCGCCGUUAUUUGUCGACUUACAGGCUCGGCGCAAUAUUCUCGCUCUCGUUCCUCACCCAAAAUCCUCUCACUUCGACAUCCGUCAGACCCAUUCCAGCAUCUCUCCCUUACAAGCCUCAGCAUCGCUUCGUCGUUCACACUGUAACAGACUAGUGUAACGUGCGUAGGUUUGGCAACUUGACAGGAACUCACAAUUUUAUCAGUGCUACCUUGCUUGUUUUGCGUUGAGAUCUCGCAACAGACAAUUAAAUCCACCAGCUGGCAGCUAAUGAUAAUUAAAGACCGAAAAGCAUCAGUCUGUAUCACAACUGCAGCUUUACAAGUUUCAAUGUGCAACACUCCAAUUGAGCUUCGAAUUGCACCACUUGCACCAAACUAUUUGCAAGAAACCAGGUUUACAUCAGGUCGGAACUUAGAGGAAAUUCUGUAUACAACUCUGUAUUUCAUGCCUCGACAACCGAUUGAACAGAUUCCGGUGGAAAACGUUUGCUGUGGGAGAAAUUUCGAUCCCAAAGCUUGAAGUUUGUGGAGCUUUCGAAGUACCUCAAGCUUUGGAAGCAUUAAAAUUAAAAUUUGUUGGAGGAUGAGAAAUUCAAGCGAGUGCAUCACACAUCACCAGCUGGCUCAUUUAACAACCAAGAAUUGUCAUGAAUUAUUUCACAUCUGCCAAAGAUAGCGAAGGAAGCUGGAUUGAUUAAUACCAGAUACCUUGGUAAAAAUUUAUCCUUUCAUUCUAGAGGCAGAGGUAAACAGACCGCACAAGAUCGAUACCUCUAACUAACGAGUAUGAGUUUGAGGAGAAUUCUUUUUGUUUCUGGAAUCAAUCCCAAGGAGAAGCCAGUUGGAACAGAUCAAAUUGCAGCGCUGCUACCGCAAGCUUUCUUUUAACACAAUUAUGCAAUUCUCUGCGGGCCAUGCCCAAGUCAAGGCUAUGCUUUAUUUACAUCAUACCAGAUCUAGACCUUCUAAAAAUGCUCAAACAGCAUCCUCGCACACACGUAACCAGAACAGAAUCGGAAACCGGAGCCAUUGGAACAGUAUCGAGUUUAAGCGGAGUGCUACUUCUACCUACAACAGAAAAGCACGAUGGAUGCAGUUAAGCUGGACACGACAGACAGCGAGGUGAACAGCAGGAUGCAUGAAGCAUCCAAGUCUAAAGAAUAAAAGCACUGGCUUGAACGGCGAACACUUGUACACUCACUACAGGGAGGUGCCAGGGACGGCGAGAGCGAAAACAGCGCCGCCAAUUUACUAGAUAAAACUUGUGGGUCCUGUUAAAACAUCCUGACAUGGCAGGUGCCAUGAUGGUCUGCGAGGCAUUGACCUGAGUUCAAACGAUCCAAGCCCGGAUUCUGACCCUGCUCGUGGCACAAUGCCGCUCUCGGUACUACUGGUCUUAUUCUUCCCACGCUAGGGUUGCACUUUCACUGCCCCCGAGGGUCCAAGCUUUGUGCCAGAAAGGGAUGACGCAACCAAUCAAGUAACUGCAAAGCUAAAUGCCAGCUAGAAUGACACAGACCAAUCAAGCGGAUGCAAAGACGGUUUUCCAGAGAGGCUCAAGCUGUGAAAACGGCUGCGAUUUGAUCCACUACGGAGAGAACAAGCAAACGGGAGGACUACGGUGGAAACGGUGUAUUAUUGGGACGGCUUUGACAAUUAGGACCUCAUCCAGUGAAGGACAUCCAUUCAACGGAUGAACCCUCUUUGGGGCUGCCCUCGGAUCGGAGACCCUUUCAGAUUCCAUGGAGUAUUCUAAAAGUGUUGUUGCUUGUUGUUGUUCACAACUUUGUCAAUAAUUGUGCUGGUUGUCUGCCGCCGUCUUGCUGGUGUUCUUGCUGCCCUAUGCUGUUUUCACUUCUCCCCACGGCUGCAUUGUCAGUGCUGCUAUUCGUAUUGUCCUCCCGUUGCAAGAAUAUUGCGUAGCAUGACUAAACCACGGUGUAGAACUUGGGCAUGGCGGCAAGCCACCGUUGCGACGCCGUGCAGUGAGUUUCACACCGUAACCAUGAGGACGUUCUUUCCUUUCGCUCGCAGAAAUCUUUCAUAUUUUGGUACGAGCUUUGAUUUUCGAUGGCAUAUCUGGACACAUUAGGAGUCGUCCGACCGUGGCACAUGCAUUUCCAUGGUCUGGUAGCAUGUAUGAUGCAUUGUGUGUGUCAAGGAAAUGUUGGAUGCGGUGGUUACAAAGCAAAUGUGCUGAUUAAUUUUGAAGUGGGCAAGUCGAAGGCUUUAAAUUCCUGGAAUUCUGUCCAGUGAAGGAUGCAUGCGUGUAUGUCACUACUUCUAUGUUGGUGGCCAUACUACAACAGUCUAAGUUAAUGCCUUCGUGCGAUGUGUUCACAUCGGUUGUACUCGUGCCGAACUUUCGCUCGCAAAUGUACGGAAAAUGAGACUGUUUGCCAAAAACUGGGAUGCUGAUCUUUACUUCGUAACUGAGUCAAAGCAUACCUCCUCAAUUUCUACACUUCAUUGAUGAUGCCAUUUUAUGCAAAGCCGGUAAACCACAUUUGAACUUGGCCAAAGCGUUGGUAUCUACAGCCCAUAUUUGAGAGAUAACGAUGGGCAACUGAAGGGUCGAGCGUACAUGAGUGCUGCUCAUUUUGGUGAAAGGCUAUCUGAGAAAGUAAAGCUAUUUGAGAUCAAAUAGCCAAUGUACACAAUUGUGGGCACUAUAAUUGACUUCCAUUCUAUUGAUCACAUUAAAUGUAGCCGGCGCUCUCCAUACUAUUUAUUGUAGUCUAUACUAUUUAUUGUGGUCUACAGUAUUUACUAUAACUACAAUGUUUGGAAUGUAGUGGGGGAGAAAUUGUUUUUCUCCACUUGUAUAAGAAAUAUAAUCCUAUCAAUAAACUCACUUCUUGUGUAUGUGUGUGUUUACAUUUGUGUGGAUAUUACUUCUAGCUACUGUUGUUUUUUUCUCUCUAAAACAUUCUCAACACAUUAUCAGCAUAAUUAUUCUUAUAUUUUGGUCUUUGUUCUUAAAAACUUAUGUAUACUUUAUUCUUUGUUUUUUUUCUCAAUUUUUUUUCUUCAUGUGCUGCUGCUGUUGUGUUGUUGCUAUUAUUAUUGUUGUCAUGUGCUACUGCUACUAUUGCUAUCCUAUGUUGUAAUGGUGUUGUUGCUGUGCUGUUGUAUUACCAUACCCUGCUGCCAAACUGCUGCCAACUACUACAUCUUGCCACCAACUACUAUCGACUGUCGCUGAUUGAUGCAUCCUAUUCCAAUUGCUACCAAUUGCAUCCAAACUGUCGCACCUUAUCGCCAAACUGUCACCAACUACUGUACCUUGCCGCCAAACUAUUGCACCUUGCCGCACCCUCUCAUAUCCUGCCGUAGUCCAUAGUAGACUCUUAUUUUUGUAGGAAAAAAAAUAAAAAUAAAAAUAAAAUAAAAAAUCUAAUUUUUUUAACUUUUUUUAUUUCAACUUUCAACUUUAUCAUUUUAUUUGCCUUUAUAUUUUAAGGUGUAUUUUACUAAACCUUUUCUACUUGAACUUGUAUUUUUAUUCAUAGAUUUAUAUAUAAUUCGUGCUUCAACAUCUUCAACUACCUCUAUUAUGUUUCAAACUAUCACCACUUCAUUCCAACAUUUUCAAGCUCUUCUAUUUCCACCAUUGGUUGUUGAUAGAAAUAAUUAUCUAUUAUGGGCAAAAAUAGCAAAAGCAAAUUUAUUUACACAACAACUAUAGGAUGCAAUUAUAUUUGAAGAAUCUCCUACUUGAAAUACUACAAUUUCUAUUGCUAUUCAUUAGAAAGUACUUCUUCUCUUUUACCGACAUCUUGUACUUGCAUUACAACAUCAAUAUUUAAAAAUGGAAGAUUCAACCAAGCUUUGGAGGAACCUUAAAUCUAGGUUUGAUCAUCAAAAGACCAUUUUCCUUGGACAUGCAUAUCAUAAUUGGAUACAUUUACAUAGGUUGGAUUUUUGAAAUUUAAAUUUCAAGAGUAAAAUGUAUUGUAUUGUCUUACAACUAUGAUUAUGUGAACAAAGCAUCUCUGAAGAAGAAAUGAUUGAGAAAACUCUCUCUACAUUUCCUCUCAUAUUUACUAAGUUUGCACAAUAAUAUAGGAAUAUGAAAUUUUAGAGUCAUCUUGAUCUCAUGUCCUAUCUACUUCUUGUGGAGAAAUAAAAUGAGCUACUCUUGCACAAUACAAAAGCUCGUCCUAUUAGAACCACAAUUCCAAAAUUUCAUGCACUUAAUAUUCCAAAGUCUAAGAACUAAUUAUACAAAUAUGAAAAAAAUGCUCAUAAGCACCAAGUCAAUCAUGGUCAUGACUGUUUCCACCUAUAUGAAAAAAAACGUUCUACAAUUAAUUAUAGUAGAAAAUAAAAAUUAGAGAUUUGUUCUUACCAUAAAUAUAAAAUAAUUAGAUAUUUUGUACAUGCAUGCCAUAUUUUAGAAUACUUUAUUAAAAUAUUCUAAAAAAAUAAGAAACUUUGAGUUAAGGCUUAUGAAGUUUAUACCAUGGAUGUAUCUAUGGAUUCAAUUGGUAUUGAUGAUUUAGAGACUUAUAUGAAUGAAAAAAACCUCUAAUGUUGAAUCAAAUGAUGCAUUCAUUGAUUUUGCAACAAUACAUACUAUCUUACGGGAUAGACGAUUUUUUAUUGAAAAAUCUUCAACCUGACAAACUAGAAAUUUGAUGACUAUGGCUAGAAUGAAUGCAUUUUGCUUCCAAGAGGGAACAAUGAUGAGAAAAUUGUCUGUAAGUUCUAUCAUAAAAUAUAAACAUGCAAUGUUUGCACUCUCAAUACCUUAGAGUUUGAUUAGCUAUCAAAAUGUAUGUGCCAAUAGUUAUUAUCUUUUAACUGCAAUUUUAGAUAUGCGAGAGGUUUUGAUUUUUGAAUAAAACCAUAAAAUUGUAGAAAAAGCCUUUGCUACAAGAAAUGAUUUAUAUUGAAUUGUAAUCCGGCCUCUUAUUAUAUUUAAUUUUGUAUCAUCUAUCAUAGAGAGUCGUGUUUCUCUUUGGCAUGGAUGAUUGAGAUAUCUAAGAUUUAUAGCAUUUUGGAAGAUAAUUCCAUGUAUAAUUGGACAUAAUUUAAGACUUGCAAAUGCAGAUUCUAUGGAAUUAUGUCAUACAUUUGUACAAGAGAAGUUGAUUACUCGACCUUCAACUUAAAAACUCCUACAAGAAUUACCUCUAAUGCUUGAAAGGUUGCAUGGUGAUAUUUGUGGUCCUAUUAAUGAAAUAUCUAGACCAUUUUGUUAUUUUUUGGACUUUAUUGAUGCAUCACGCAAACAUUCACAUGUUUUAUUAUUACUAUCUUGAAACAUGGUAUUUGUUAAUCUUAUAUCUAUGCUUAUUUGUUUUUGAGUACAUUUUCUUGAUUAUCCUAUCAAAACAUUGUGUAUGGACAAUGCAAAAGAAUUUGCAUCAAAGUCUUUUGAAGACUAUUGUAUUAUAAUAAGGAUUGAAUUGACAUAUUGUAUUCAAUAUAAAAAUGCUCAAAAUAGACUUACAAAGUCAUUUAUAAAACGUAUAUAAUUCAUUACCUGAAUGCUCCUUCUUCAUGUAAAUUUACUUGCAUCUAUGUGGAAUCAUGCAGUUUUACAUGCUGCAGUAUUAAUAUGCCUCCAUCUUUCUUCUCUUCAAAUUAUUAUAACAUAAGAACUUAUUUCAGAUUAUAUUUUAAAUAUAUAUUACCUACGGAUGUUUGGUUGCCGUACUUGGAUUCUAGUACCAAAACCUCAAUGAUUGUUACGGACAUACAUAUAAUUACCUAUAUGAAUAGAUAAAAGUAUGUAAAAGUAGAUAAAAGUAGGUUAAUUGUGUAAUAUCUUCUAGAGAAGCUUCUUAGAAGCUUCAUAGACGCUGCUUUGACUUUAUAGGAGUCUAUAGUUGACUUUUAGGUUAGAAACUUGGUCAACAAGUUAGCCAUGUGCCACACAUGUUGGAAGCUUAAAGAACAAGCUAACUACGUGGUCCAUCCAUAGAAAACUUGCCUUGCAAGCAAAGGCAUGUGGCCUAGAAAGUCAACAUAUAUUGGAGGUCUUAUAGAACAUCACCACGUGGCUUUUAGUUAGAUAAUAUAUAUAGAGGCAAGAGUGAAGCCCUCUUCACUCUUGUCAACUCUUUUCUUGCUUCUAGUCUAGUUUCAAGGGUCUCUAGUUUUCUUGUAUUUUGGCAAUAGCCAUUCCAGUUUCUUUCUUAAUAUACAUAUUUCUAUUUUGUCCUAUUUCUUUUUGAGAAAAGUCUCACUUACUCUUUAGCUUUCAUCGAGUUCUUGUCCUUGACAGAUUGACAAGAGUACACUUACAAUAUCAGAGCUUUGUCUUUUCUUGAUUAAGAGUGGAUUACCCCUUUUUCUUGAUAAGACAUAAGCGCAUUAGAAGUUACGGAUUACCCUCUUUUAAACUGAUAUUGUUCUUAGUAUUUUCUUUGUUAUCAAUUCCUCUCUUCUAUUUGUUUUGAGCGUUAUUAGACAUCUUCUCUUUUCUAAGUGCUACUAUGGCAGAGCUUGUUGAAAUGAAGAGUGCAAUGGCACAGAUGCAAGAACAAUUGAGGGAGUUAAUGCUUGCGAUGCAUCAAUUCAAUUUACCACCACAAGGAGCAACAAGAAUGGUAGGAAGUGAAGAUAUAGAGAUGAUUGGGGCUGCUUCAACAUCUGCACCAAAUCAUGUCCAUUCUCCCAGAAUAGAACACCCUUCGAGUGUUAGAGAACCGAGAGUUGCCUUGCCCGAGAAGUUUGAUGGUACCAGAUCCAAGUUUCGAGGAUUCAUCAAUCAGGUCCAACUAGUGAUUGAACUUCAACCCCAGAGCUAUCCAACUCCAGGGUCACAAGUUAGAUUCAUUGGUAUACUUCUUUCAGGUUCAGCAUUGUCAUGGUUUUCAUCUUUUCUUGAACGACGAGAUCCAAUAUUGGAUAAUCUGGAGGCUUUUUUGGCGGAGUUUCGAUCCAUGUUUGGAGAACAUGAUGCAAUUCGUGUUGCAACCAACAAGAUCCGUAUUUUGCGAUAAGGCAAUCGAUCAGUAACAUUAUAUGCUUCGCAAUUUUGACAACUUGCAACUGAUAUCAAGUGGGAUGAUGCCGCACUUGUGAGUCAAUUUCUCUACGGAUUACAAUAUGAGGUAAAAAAAUUGAUGCUUAAUUUACCUGAUCCUCAAACAUUGAGUCAAGCAAUUGACUUUGCUGUGAAGUACGACAAUCGACUUUUUGAAUUUCGAUCCGAGAGUCGCAUAAGUAGGCCUCAACGUUACUACAAUUCAAUGGCAACACCGACGUCUCCUCAACACAUACCUUCAGAAGUAGAGGAUAUGCAAAUUGAUGUGGUAUGUUUCAAACCUCUUACUGAGCAAGAAAAGUCUCGUCGUCGACAAGAAGGAUUGUGCUUAUAUUGUGGAGAACCUAAGCACACUGCUCAACAUUGUCCAAAGAAGCGACAUAACUACAAAAUGAGGAGUACGGCUGUCAAAGAAGACAGUAUGUCGGAAAAUGAGUACGUCCAGCUACAAUAGGGACCGUGCGGCUGGAAUCUUGUACAACUUCUAAUGAAGGUCCUAUCCUCUCCUCAGAACCAUCUCCUUGUUUUAUAAUAGAUGUGCGUUUAGGACCUAAUAAUUACAAAGCCUCUGCCUUGGUAGAUUCAGGAGCCUCAUCUUGUUUUUUAGAUGAAGAAUUUGCUAGAUGUCAUAGAAUAUCAUUAAUACAAAAAACUAAACCUGUACACGUAGAAGUCAUAGAUGGUCGUCCGUUGUCUUCUGGAGAUGUAACUCACGAAACACUUCUUGUAGAUGUAGUAAUAAAUGGUCAUAGUAGUUGCGUAAUUUUUAAUAUAAUUAGAUCUCCCUCUAAUCCAGUAAUUUUAGGCUUAUCAUGGUUAGAAAAUUAUAAUCCUCGAAUAGAUUGGAUUUCUCGUAAACUUGAUUUCCCUCAGAGCAUUAGUAACAGUUCUAUUAAUCAAGUAAAAAACCAUGAGUCUAGUAUAGUAAAACUCGCACUUAUAGGUGCAAAAGCAUUUAUACACGCAGCAAAAGAAAGAUCAACUUUUGCUAUUUAUGCUGCACCUAUUUCUGAAAACGUAAAGACUUCAAGUGGCAUUCCAAGUCAAUAUCAGGAGUAUCAAGACGUUUUUGAGAAAAAGAAUGCAAAUAUUCUUCCUGAGCAUCGCCCAUACGAUUAUUCAAUCGAUCUCAAGGAAGGAACUCUGCCACCAUUUGGACCAAUUUACAGUUUAUCGCAAGAUGAGUUGGCUGAACUCUAGACAUAUAUUGACGAGAAUUUAGCGAAGAAUUUCAUACGCCAUUCAAAAUCUCCAGCAGGAGCUCCAAUUUUAUUCGUAAAGAAAAAAGAUGGAUCUUUACGAAUAUGUGUUGACUAUCGAGGACUCAACAAGAUCACAAUCAAGAACAGGUAUCCAUUACCUUUGAUAUCAGGACUCCUUGACCAGUUAAAUCAAGCUAAGAUCUAUACAAAAAUAGAUCUAAGAGGAGCAUAUAAUCUAGUACGGAUCAAAGAAGGAGAUGAAUGGAAGACUGCGUUUCGAACCAGGUACGGGCAUUUUGAAUAUAAUGUCAUGCCUUUUGGACUCACGAAUGCACCAGCUGCUUUUCAACAUCUCAUGAAUGAUGUAUUUCGUGAAUUCUUAGACAAUUUUGUCAUCUGCUACCUAGACAAUAUCCUGAUUUAUUCUAAGAACGUUGAAGAACAUGAAAUACAUGUUCGUCAAGUAUUACAAAAACUUAGAGAUGCAGGAUUGUACGCCAAGAUGGAAAAGUGUGUAUUUCACACUACUCAAGUUGACUUUUUAGGAUACAUCAUUUCAAAUGAUGGUCUUAUGAUGGAUUCUAAGAAAGUCCAAAUAAUCAUGGAUUGGAAGAUUCCAAAGACUGUAAGAGAUGUCCAAUGUUUCUUGGGAUUUGCUAAUUACUAUCGGAUCUUCAUCAAAGACUUCUCACGAGUUGCAGCUCCACUUCCACGCUUGACUAGUAAAGAUAAAUUCCAAUGGAAUCAAGAAGCGGAAGCAGCAUUUGAAGCCUUGAAGACAUCGUUUGUCUCUGCACCAGUCUUAUAUCGUGUUGACUUUUCUAAGGUAUUUUUUAUGAAAACAGACGCAUCGGAUUUUGCCUUGGGUGCAGUUUUAUCACAAAUGGGAACAGAUGACAAACUUCAUCCGAUAGCUUUUCAUUCAAGAAAAUUCUCAGCAGCCGAGAUCAAUUAUGAGAUCUACGAUAAAGAACUUCUUGCAAUCGUGGAUUCCUUUCAAGAAUGGCAUCAUUAUCUAGAAGGUGCUUCUAGUCCAGUCACUGUGUAUACAGAUCACAAGAACCUCGAGUAUUUCAUGUCAGCACGCGUGUUGAAUCGUCAUCAAGCUCGUUGGAGUAUGUCUUUGUCAAGAUUCAAGUUCAUUAUCACUUAUCGGCCAGGAAAACAACAAGGUUUGUCUGAUGCCCUAUCUAGACGUUCUUAUUUUGCACCAAAAGAAGGAGAUGCAGCUUUUGAGCAACAAAGAACGGUCCUCUUGAAACCGGAGCAAUUUCAUCUCCGAGCAGUGAAAUCAACAUUGACUGUUGAUUCAACUUUUCUCAAGCAAAUCCAAUCCAGUAUGUCCUCAGACCCUCUUGUUCAUGAUAUCAAGAAUAAUUCUUCCAAGUCUCAUGAUUCUUUUAAGUUCGAGUUCAAGAAUAAUCUAUUAUAUUUUGAAGGAUGCCUAUAUGUUCCAGAAUGAGAAGCACGUUUACGUGUUCUUCAACCACGUCAUGACUUUCUAGCAUCAAGGCACUUUGGAUAUAAUAAGACUUUGGAACUCAUAUCAAGAGAUUUUUGGUAGCUACAAAUGUGGAAGUCAGUCAAAGACUUUGUACAAUCAUGUGAUAUUUGUUCAAGAUCAAAAAUUCCUCAUCAUCGACCUUACGGACUUCUUCAGCCAUUACCUAUACUAGAACAACCAUGGUCUUCUGUUUCUAUGGAUUUCAUCACAGAUCUUCCAAGCUCAAGAUCUUAUGAUUCUAUAUUUGUGAUAGUAGAUCGUUUCACCAAAAUGGCACAUUUUGUGCCAUGUAUAAAAUCUAUCACAGGUGAAGAAACAGCUAAGCUUUUCAUUGAUAAUAUCUAUCGCUAUCAUGGAUUACCUAAAGAUAUCAUAUCAGAUAGGGGAACUCAAUUUGUGUCAAGAUUUUGGAGGACCCUUUUCAAGAUUUUAAAAGUGGACAUAAAGCUAUCUUCGGCUUUCCAUCCUCAAACUGAUGGACAAACUGAGCACGUAAACCAAGUCUUGGAGCAAUAUUUAAGGUAUACCAUCAACUACCAACAAGAUGAUUGGACAACCUUUCUGCCAUUGGCAUAGUUUGCUUAUAAUAAUACGGUACAUUCUUCCACGCAACAAAUACCUUUCUUUGUCAAUUAUGGCUAUCAUCCACGACUUGAUACUUUUGAUUUUUCAAAAGUUGAUAAUCUUGCAGCAGAAGAUAUGGCAAAUCGGUUGUCAGAGUUACAUGCAAUAAUGAAGACGCAAUUGAAAGAAGCUCAAGAACGACAAAAGAUAAAUGCAGAUGUAUAUCGUAAAGAGCAACCACAACUCAACGUGGGUGAUAAGGUAUGGCUACUUUGUCGCAAUAUCAAGACCACUCGACCUUGUGACAAAUUGGACUAUCGUAGGCUUGGCCCCUUUUCUGUUUCUGAACAGAUCAACCCAGUUGCAUAUCGGUUACAUCUACCGGAGUCAAUGAAGAUCCAUCCUGUAUUCCACGUGUCUCUUCUUGAACCAUAUAAGAUAGUGGAUAUACAAGGAAGAAGACAAAUGCCACCGCCUCCUAUAGAAGUAGAUAAUAAUGAAGAAUUUGAGGUGGAAGAGAUAUUAGACUCAAGGCGGCGCCGAAAUAAGCUGGAAUAUCUUGUUCAUUGGUGCGGAUAUGAUAUUAGUGAGUGCACAUGAGAGCCAUCCAGGAAUCUAGCAAAUACAUCAGCUAGAGUCAAAGUUUUUUAUCAACGACAUCCAUCAAAACCAAGAUGAAAACCUCUCUUAUAAAAGAGACAAGAUUGAGGCAAGAUAACAUUCAAUUUCAUAUCCUUGUUUGUAACUUCUUUGCAUUUUGUGACGCUAAUUAGAUGGAGAGCCAACAACCAGUGGAUUCAACUCAAGAACCUUCGU
RNAcentral lists this long non-coding RNA (40149 nucleotides) under Physcomitrium patens. Its description in RNAcentral is "long non-coding RNA (PPAT_LNC005670)". Lineage: Eukaryota; Viridiplantae; Streptophyta; Bryopsida; Funariales; Funariaceae. The record is from RNAcentral.